This 314-nucleotide ribosomal RNA is filed under the name uncultured soil bacterium. RNAcentral's name for it is "bacterial SSU rRNA". It matches the Rfam family "Bacterial small subunit ribosomal RNA", at positions 1082 to 1397 of the family's 1533-position model. The record is from RNAcentral.
AAGUCCCGUAACGAGCGCAACCCUCGCCCUUAGUUGCCAUCAUUUAGUUGGGCACUCUAAGGGGACUGCCGGUGAUAAGCCGCGAGGAAGGUGGGGAUGACGUCAAGUCCUCAUGGCCCUUACGGGCUGGGCUACACACGUGCUACAAUGGCGGUGACAGUGGGACGCAAUGGAGCAAUCCUGCGCAAAUCUCAAAAAGCCGUCUCAGUUCGGAUUGGGGUCUGCAACUCGACCCCAUGAAGUCGGAAUCGCUAGUAAUCGCAGAUCAGCACGCUGCGGUGAAUACGUUCCCGGGUCUUGUACACACCGCCCGU